Molecule: long non-coding RNA, 824 nt
Organism: Oncorhynchus tshawytscha (Chinook salmon)
Lineage: Eukaryota; Metazoa; Chordata; Actinopteri; Salmoniformes; Salmonidae
Source: Ensembl
UAUUCACCCAUAAAGAAGCAAAAUAGCAUCAGAAAUUCAAAGAAACAGCUCAGUCACUAACCUCAGAGACAAGGGGCUUGGGUGUCGAACUCCAUGUUAACAGUAGAACACAUGACAGAUCUAAGUGACUUUAAAAAACUGAAGGGGAAAAAGUGAUACCACUGCAAUUUAGAAAAAUAAUCCAAGUUAGGAAGUGCCUCCAGAGAGCAGAGGGACACAGUGCUGUACAGAACGUGUGGAACGCUGACCUGCCCUCUACCUGAAAAAGCGAGGCAAUGGCUGCUGUUUGAAAUUUCAAAAAGGAGAAGUGUAGUGAAGCAACUUGCCUUGGCUCUCCCUGUGAGUCAUGUAGCUCGACAUCCAUUGGUGGGUGAGCCUUCACGCAGAGUGGCUGCACCUGGCCAAUCGCAAGUCAGAGUGGGCUCUGUAUGCAAAUCCUUUCAGAACUCUCUCCCUCUCUCUCUCUCUCUCUCUGUGUGGGUGAUUGUGUGGGCAGAGACAGGUGCGCUGGAGUCAGAGCAGAUACCCACCAGCUGCAACCUGUUCCAUAAUCAAGACCUCUACAAAUACUCAGCCCUGCCACUUCCAUGCUGCCAGAUCGUAAUCUCUGCUCAUUCUGCCCGCUCUGACUCUGGUCCCUGUCUCCAGUCCCACGUCUCGUCAUCCUGCUACUCUGUCCUGGAUUCCCCACACUACCCUGUCUCAACCCCUCUCGCUCCAACCUCAGCCUCCGCACCUGGUUUCCAGCGACCCGCCCGAGCUUCCCCUGACCUGCACUACAUCUCCCCCCUGUGUUUCAAUAAAUACCUUGGUUACUUCAUCCC